CAGCAGUAGCCGCGGUAACACGAAGGGUGCAAGCGUUACUCGGAAUUACUGGGCGUAAAGCGUGCGUAGGUGGUGGUUUAAGUCCGUUGUGAAAGCCCUGGGCUCAACCUGGGAAUUGCAGUGGAUACUGGGUCACUAGAGUGUGGUAGAGGAUAGUGGAAUUUCCGGUGUAGCAGUGAAAUGCGUAGAGAUCGGAAGGAACAUCUGUGGCGAAGGCGACUAUCUGGGCCAACACUGACACUGAGGCACGAAAGCGUGGGGAGCAAACAGGAUUAGAUACCCGUGUAGUCCCUGUCUCUUAUAC
Molecule: ribosomal RNA, 304 nt
Filed under: uncultured bacterium
Lineage: Bacteria
Description: partial 16S ribosomal RNA
Rfam family: Bacterial small subunit ribosomal RNA
Source: RNAcentral